RNAcentral lists this ribosomal RNA (524 nucleotides) under Blommersia grandisonae. Its description in RNAcentral is "partial 16S ribosomal RNA". It matches the Rfam family "Bacterial large subunit ribosomal RNA", at positions 1854 to 2593 of the family's 2925-position model. The record is from RNAcentral. Lineage: Eukaryota; Metazoa; Chordata; Amphibia; Anura; Mantellidae.
CCAGCCUGCCCAGUGACAAGGUUCAACGGCCGCGUACCCUAACCGUGCGAAGGUAGCAUAAUCACUUGUUCUUUAAAUGAGGACUUGUAUCAACGGCAUCACGAGGGUUUAACUGUCUCCUUUCUCCAAUCAAUGAAACUGAUCUUCCCGUGAAGAAGCGGGGAUUUCCUUAUAAGACGAGAAGACCCCAUGGAGCUUUAAACCCAGCUACACCUCUAUUUUUAUUCCACUUUAACCUUUAGAACCCUGUAUGCCUGGUUUUAGGUUGGGGUGACCGCGGAGCAUAAAUUAGCCUCCACGAUGAACGGGAAUUAUUCCCUUACCCAAGAACUACGCCUCUAAGAAUUAGUAUUCUAACAUAAAAUGAUCCGGCUAUCCGAUCAACGAACCAAGUUACCCUGGGGAUAACAGCGCAAUCCACUUCAAGAGCUCCUAUCGACAAGUGGGUUUACGACCUCGAUGUUGGAUCAGGGUGUCCUAGUGGUGCAGCAGCUACUAAAGGUUCGUUUGUUCAACGAUUAAAA